This is a long non-coding RNA of Vanessa atalanta (red admiral), 497 nucleotides long. RefSeq lists it as uncharacterized. The record is from RefSeq and is a predicted model, not a curated record. The transcript has 2 exons. NCBI's taxonomy places the organism in Eukaryota, Metazoa, Arthropoda, Insecta, Lepidoptera, Nymphalidae.
UUUCAGGAAGGAGUACUCAUAAUUUCGACUAGAAUAUUCUCGAAUGAAAUAAGGUGUCAAAUUCACGCUUGGCAUGAAUAUCAAAUGAAACAAUUACUGUAAAUGGCUGUUAAAGCACGAAGCGUAUUCAUGAUUUUUUGUUAUUCGUAGUUAAUUUGAAACAAUGAAAUACUAUAAAUAUCAGGUUUUUCCGUUCUGUGAAGGUAAGUUACCUGAAGGUUGCUACAGCAAUGAAGCUAACGUCGAAUUUGUCAACCUGGGUCCUAAUCAUGGCCGCCGCCUUGUCGGUGUUGGUCAACACUGCUACAGCUAAAUAUUGUUACUCGAAGUAUGACUGCUCAGAAUCAUGCGCACGUGCUUGCUUUUACUAUAUAGAUGCGUUGUGCUAUAAUUCUCAAUGCUCCUGUCAAGUAAGAUCCAGUAGAACAGAAACAGAAACAAUUCCACAGAGGUGUUAUUGAUAAUUUAUCUACUAUUUAAUUAAAAAAUUUUUUCAU